Chinchilla lanigera (long-tailed chinchilla) is the source of this 2474-nucleotide long non-coding RNA. RefSeq lists it as uncharacterized. Lineage: Eukaryota; Metazoa; Chordata; Mammalia; Rodentia; Chinchillidae. The record is from RefSeq and is a predicted model, not a curated record. The transcript has 3 exons.
ACUCUGCUGUGGUCGUGGGCUGGGAUUCGGGCUGUGAGCCUGACUGUAGAGCUGAAUUGUUUCUCUACUCCGUUACGCUCUGCUCCUACUUUGGCUCCUCUGAUCCGUUUCCCAUUCCUCAACGGCUACGGUGAUCUUUUAGAACACUGCAAGGCUCCCCAGUUAUGCAAUGCCUGGGCUUCGCGUGGCUCCCAAGAGCCUGAAGUCCUUCCUGUAGCUGCCGAGCCCUGCGCAGCCUGCCCUGCCCGUCAGCUUCAUCCUCAGGAGGGAGGGGCGUCUUCAUCCUCUGCCCCUCCCGCCUGCGGCUCCAGCCCCUCUCUUCCGGGCCUUCCCCCUUAGGAAGCUUCUGGGACUGCGUGUUGUGUACUCCUGUCCUCACGUCUCCUCGGUGACUCACUCAUACUGACAACUUGGAGCUCAGCCUCUGCGAACCCCCAGGUGCCCUGUCUUACCUGUGUCUAGCAGCCAGGCUUCGCUCCCCUCUAGAGGGUCCCAUCAGACAAGGGAAGCUAUAAGAGACUCUCCCUCAGACACGGAGGGCAAGAUGGAAGCCAAAAGUCCAGAUUUAGUCGUGCGGACUCCUAGCCUUGGGCAGUGAGGAAUAAAGGCACCAGCGAGCUCCAUCUUAAUUCUUUGGUGGUCUCCAAAUGUAACUUUGGGUUUUAUUGAAAACAUAGAAGCUCCAAAAGAGACACAAGGCCAGUGGGCCCGGCCAGUCUACAGAGCUGCAGCAUCAGAGAGAGCACACCGUCUCCCGGGUGGAGUUCACAGCCUCCGGCCACUCCAUUUCCUGUCAGCUUCAGUUGCUGGAAGGUUCCUGUCAGCACUGAGGAGAAGCUCUCGCUCUUAGCCACUAUACAUUCUUCUAAGGGUGUCACAUCUCAGUGACUCGGUUGUACUCCUCAGACAUGUUUUGGAAUAGUGGGUUCAAAGGCUGAGGAGACAGUAAAGAAAUGCGGCCUGCAGCUUCUUCAGCCUUAGUGUCUGUUAGGCUCUGGCAGCUGCAGGUGGAUAUGGAAGGCACAACUGAGGUCACUGAGAUUUGCUCUGAUGCAUCCACUUUCUUGAUCUCAGACCCAGUGAGGACCCAGAGCUUAUGUUUUGUCAUCCAGGCACCUGGAAAGGUAGCUUUUCUCUAUGUGACAUUCUUAUGCCCAGGUGAGAAUCUGAGGUUCUCUUUGUUCCCUUAGCCUGAGAGGCGGCAGCUGGGAGCACAUGCACCCGGCACAGGUCCAGAGCUCGGCGCGCAGGCCGUGGGCCAUGGAGGACUCCAGGGCAGACCAGAGUGUGGGAGCCCAGCGCCAGCCCGGGGAGCGUGUGCCUCUGAAUCAUAAGUGGAUUGAAUGUGGAGGCCUGGGGUUGAAGCCUGGCUCUGUCACUGUGGCGGUUGAAAAUAUAUCCACAAAUCCUUAAAUUCUCUGCAUCGUCUUUAAAAGAUGGCGCUUGGGCUUGGGGGUAUGGCUCAGCGGUUACAGGGUUUGCCUGGUACAAAGCGGUGCUGGGUCUAGUCCCUGGCACCACAGUGUGUAUGCGGCGGGGAGGCAUAGAACCUAAUUCUUCCCACUGUAAACCUGGGCUGGAUUUAGUGACUCACUUCUAACAAGUAUUAAUGAUGGCAUGAAACAUCCAAAACUGGGCUAUAAAAGACAUUGAGUCUUCCAGCUUGGUGCUUCCCUCGGAUCAGGUGCUUCCUGGCUGCCCUGUCAUAAUGACACACAAGCAGACGGUUAGAGGGGCUCACGCGGCAAGGAUCCAACUCCUCCCAGCAGAGGCCUAGUGUGUGCCCCGCGCUGGAAGCAGAGCCUCCCGCCCCCAGCAAAGCCAUCGGAUGACUGCAGCCUCUACAGGCAUCUUGACAGCAACCGCACCAGGGACUCUGAGCCUGACCCUUGCAGCUGAGCCGCUCCCAAAUUCCUGGUCUACAGGCACUGUGAGAUAAGGAGGCAUGUUCCUGAUUUUGAGCCAUUAAGUUCUGAGAUACUCUGUUACUCAGCAAUGGAUAAGCAAUCACCAGCUCUUUGACCCCGGCACAUUACUCAACUUCUCUGUGCCUGCAUUUCCUUAUCUGUGAAAUAAAGAGAAUACUUCCUGUCUUAGCAGGGUGGUGUAGUAAAUGAUAUACUACUGUGUCAACAGUUCUCAACUUCUACACUCUUCAAACUGAGGGCCCUAACGUGUUUGUUUGUGUGAUUUAUCUACCAAAUAUCAUAACAUACACCAUUUCAGAGACCUGAGGUAGAAAUCUAGCCACAAAAUGGAGAAGAGCUCUCAUACAACAGUCAGUCAGCUGCAGGUGGACUGAGAGAGACAUUUUGAUAUACCAGUGGCAAAUCAUUUUUACAUUUAGAUCUUCCCAAGGUUGAAUGGACAAUUUUGAGGAUUUUAUUUAGAGUUUUAACCUGAGACAUUUAAGAAACAUUUUACUAUGUCUUUUAAAUAUAAUAAGGGCUAGGGGAUAUAACUUAGUGCCAAAA